GCGCAAACCAGAUGGGAUGGCGUAUCGCUGCAGAAUGCUGUGGAAGCAAUGCGGUCAAGGACUUUGCUGGCCCAUUGGAAAACACCCGCUGAAGAACCAAAGCCUCCAAAAGGAAAGACAAUAAAGAAACUUGCUCAAACAUCCCAAAAAAGAACAAACAAUGAACCAUCUCAGAAGCGCAAAACACAACAGGCAAAGAAAUCACACUGUAGUUGCAAGCCCAAGAAGAGGAGGAUAAUCAAAGCUGCCAAAAUACAGACACAAAGAAUUUGCUCAAAUACCAGCCACAAAGAUUUUCCUCAAACGCCAGACACAAACAAAGAAGUCUCUCAAAUGCCCCCAGUAAGGGAAGUGGACAUGGGGGCUACUGAAACAUGGGAUGCAGCGGACAUUCUGACCUACCAGAUUCUAUGACAUCCUAUGGGUUCUCUCUCGCUUACUUACACACACACCAGUGCGCAGUAUACAAAGACUCCUGUUUCAAUAUUUUUUUACCAGAAAUGUUUCUGAAAUGGUUUCUCUUUAUUUGUUGUUUUUCUUUUGUAAAGUUAUGUUGGCGAAGAAUGUUUCAUAAAACAAUGUUAGAUUUCAGAACCAAGAGUUGUACAUAGAUACUGUAUGACUAUAUUUGUUUUCUAUUAAAAAAGUUUCUCAAACA
This is a non-coding RNA of Salmo salar (Atlantic salmon), 658 nucleotides long. The record is from RefSeq and is a predicted model, not a curated record. Lineage: Eukaryota; Metazoa; Chordata; Actinopteri; Salmoniformes; Salmonidae.